AUGCUGAAAGNAUAUUAGUACAACUGCCUUCCAAGCAGGAAGCCCAAAAUUAGGUCAGCAUA
RNAcentral lists this transfer RNA (62 nucleotides) under Lampsilis ornata (southern pocketbook). Its description in RNAcentral is "tRNA-Gly". Lineage: Eukaryota; Metazoa; Mollusca; Bivalvia; Unionida; Unionidae. The record is from RNAcentral.